Molecule: ribosomal RNA, 253 nt
Filed under: uncultured bacterium
Lineage: Bacteria
Description: partial 16S ribosomal RNA
Rfam family: Bacterial small subunit ribosomal RNA
Source: RNAcentral
GACAGAGGGUGCGAACGUUGUUCGGAAUUACUGGGCGUAAAGCGCGUGUAGGCGGCAGCGCAAGUCGGGCGUGAAAUCCCACGGCUCAACCGUGGAAGUGCACUCGAAACUGCGCAGCUAGAGUCCUGGAGAGGAAGGUGGAAUGCUUGGUGUAGAGGUGAAAUUCGUAGAUAUCAAGCGGAACACCGGUGGCGAAGGCGGCCUUCUGGACAGUGACUGACACUGAGACGCGAAAGCGUGGGGAGCAAACAGG